Zea mays is the source of this 222-nucleotide long non-coding RNA. RefSeq lists it as uncharacterized. The record is from RefSeq and is a predicted model, not a curated record. The transcript is spliced from 3 exons. NCBI's taxonomy places the organism in Eukaryota, Viridiplantae, Streptophyta, Magnoliopsida, Poales, Poaceae.
GGCUGUUCGGCUGCUUGCCAAUAAAGAGUCAUGUAGGCCGAAAGGAGAAAUCAUAAAUAAUAGAAAGCAUUAUAUGGACAUGCGUUUCUGGAGAAUGGUUGGUUUUGGUAAACUUCCAAAGUACCAUCAGGAUCCUACAACAGAAGAGUUAGCCAAAACACUCGAUUGUUGGCCAUCAAUGAAUUAUUAUAUCACGGGUUGUAGAUAUGUUCUUAUGCCAUG